AGAGCGAACGCUGGCGGCAGGCCUAACACAUGCAAGUCGAGCGCGUGUAGCAAUACACGAGCGGCAGACGGGAGAGUAACACGUGGGAACGCGCCCUUCGGUUCGGAAUAACUCAGGGAAACUUGAGCUAAUACCGGAUACGCCCUUACGGGGAAAGAUUUAUUGCCGAAGGAACGGCCCGCGUCCGAUUAGCUAGUUGGUGAGGUAACGGCUCACCAAGACGACGAUCGGUAGCUGGUCUGAGAGGAUGACCAGCCUCACUGGGACUGAGACACGGCCCAGACUCCUACGGGAGGCAGCAGUGGGGAAUAUUGGACAAUGGGCGCAAGCCUGAUCCAGCCAUGCCGCGUGGAUGAUGAAGGCCUUAGGGUUGUAAAGUCCUUUUUAACGGGGAAGAUAAUGACGGUACCCGUAGAAUAAGCCCCGGCUAACUUCGUGCCAGCAGCCGC
RNAcentral lists this ribosomal RNA (449 nucleotides) under uncultured bacterium. Its description in RNAcentral is "SSU rRNA". It matches the Rfam family "Bacterial small subunit ribosomal RNA", at positions 26 to 518 of the family's 1533-position model. The record is from RNAcentral.